UGGCGGCGAGUGGCGAACGGGUGAGUAAUGUUCGGAACGUGCCCAGUAGCGGGGGAUAACUACGCGAAAGGUAGCUAAUACCGCAUACGCCCUACGGGGGAAAGCGGGGGACCUUCGGGCCUCGCACUAUUGGAGCGGCCGAUAUCGGAUUAGCUAGUUGGGGGGUAAAGGCCUACCAAGGCUGCGAUCCGUAGCUGGUUUGAGAGGACGACCAGCCACACUGGGACUGAGACACGGCCCAACUCCUACGGGAGGCAGCAGUGGGGAAUUUUGGACAAUGGGGGCAACCCUGAUCCAGCCAUCCCGCGUGUGCGAUGAAGGCCUUCGGGUUGUAAAGCACUUUUGGCAGGAAAGAAACGGCUCUGGUUAAUACCUGGGGCAACUGACGGUACCUGCAAAUAAGCACCGGCUAACUACGUGCCAGCAGCCGCGGUAAUACGUAGGGUGCAAGCGUUAAUCGGAAUUACUGGGCGUAAAGCGUGCGCAGGCGGUUCGGAAAGAAAGAUGUGAAAUCCCAGGGCUUAACCUUGGAACUGCAUUUUUAACUACCGGGCUAGAGUGUGUCAGAGGGAGGUGGAAUUCCGCGUGUAGCAGUGAAAUGCGUAGAGAUGCGGAGGAACACCGAUGGCGAAGGCAGCCUCCUGGGAUAACACUGACGCUCAUGCACGAAAGCGUGGGGAGCAAACAGGAUUAGAUACCCUGGUAGUCCACGCCCUAAACGAUGUCAACUAGCUGUUGGGGGCUUCGGCCCUUGGUAGCGCAGCUAACGCGUGAAGUUGACCGCCUGGGGAGUACGGUCGCAGAUUAAACUCAAGGAUUGACGGGACCGCACAGCGUUGAUGAUGUGAAUUAUUCCGAUGCAACGCGAA
This 869-nucleotide ribosomal RNA is filed under the name Alcaligenes sp. NIOT-BARREN 22. RNAcentral's name for it is "bacterial SSU rRNA". It matches the Rfam family "Bacterial small subunit ribosomal RNA", at positions 86 to 965 of the family's 1533-position model. Lineage: Bacteria; Pseudomonadati; Pseudomonadota; Betaproteobacteria; Burkholderiales; Alcaligenaceae. The record is from RNAcentral.